AACGCACAUUGCGCCCCCUGGCAUUCCGGGGGGCAUGCCUGUCCGAGCGUCAUUGCAAAACCCUCAAGCGCGGCUUGUGUGAUGGGCCGCAGCGUCCGCCGCAGGGCGGACGGGCCCCAAAGGCAGUGGCAGCGUCGUGGCGACCGGCCGCAGUGGAUAGGGACCUCGUCACCACACUCGCGGCGCGUACCGACGCUCGCCUCCCCCAAUCUCAAGGAUUGACCUCGGAUCAGGUAGGGAUACCCGCUGAACUUAA
This 256-nucleotide unclassified non-coding RNA is filed under the name uncultured fungus. Its description in RNAcentral is "partial contains 5.8S ribosomal RNA, internal transcribed spacer 2, and large subunit ribosomal RNA". Lineage: Eukaryota; Fungi. The record is from RNAcentral.